CGCAUGCGCAACAAAAUCCGCCCUGGUCGAAAUCGGAAUUCAAAGUGCGCGUAACAAAAUCAGUAAACCCUGAUCGGAAACGGAAUUCAAAGUGCACAAAAGAAAAUAUGGGAAAACCCAAAGCGAAGAAUCAAAUCGUGAAGCGGCCUAAGGCUAAAAGAGUAAUGAAGAAGACAGCUGUCAAAAGACAGAGGCUACCCCCUCUCAAAAGUGUUCGAAGAUCGGCUUCCUUAGCAGUCACGAAAAAAAAGGUUACCAUGGUUAAAUACCAGGUGCAAUUCCGUAGACAUUACAAUACUGUUCGCCGUCGUUAACUUCAGAUGGCGAGGACAAUCGAAUCGUAAAUCCCAUACAUUUUUUUGUUUUAAUCAUAUUGAAUCACUGUAAAGUCAUAAAUGAACAUAACCUUUAUUUAAAUAGCCAUAACCCACGAGUGCUGAUGCAACAUCGUUAAUUUCGUGCUCUGUGUUAGAAUUAUUAAAGGGACAUUCCUGAGUUUGCUGCACUCUUUAAGAUGUUAUCGACCAAUAGAGACUUUUUAACGAUUGUAAUUGCAUAUCAAAUAUAUUUUUCUGCAUAAAAUAUUAGUGGCUGUAUAUUA
Long non-coding RNA from Gigantopelta aegis, 601 nucleotides. RefSeq lists it as uncharacterized. The transcript is spliced from 4 exons. The record is from RefSeq and is a predicted model, not a curated record. NCBI's taxonomy places the organism in Eukaryota, Metazoa, Mollusca, Gastropoda, Neomphalida, Peltospiridae.